This is a long non-coding RNA of Nyctereutes procyonoides (raccoon dog), 4958 nucleotides long. RefSeq lists it as uncharacterized. Lineage: Eukaryota; Metazoa; Chordata; Mammalia; Carnivora; Canidae. The record is from RefSeq and is a predicted model, not a curated record. The transcript has 3 exons.
CUUCGUGGCAGGGCGUGGAGCGCGUCUGGCGCCCCGCUUCGCCCUGCGGAGCCCGAUUGUGGCCCCUUAAACCUUAAAAAAAAAAAAAAAAAAGGCACGAAGUGUCCCGCGUGAGUGACAUUUCUGGCGGUAGCCAGACUGGUGACGGGGGCUGGGUGGAGGCCGGGGUUUCCAGGGAGCGGGGUCGCGGCGCCUAGCAAGCGUGCCGACGAGAUUCGGGGCUGUGUCCAGCUGUCCCCCCGGAAGCUCACGUCAGCAGGUGUGGAUGAGCUGGCUGCUAGGCUCUAAUUAGGGAACCUGUGAGGAGGGACCUAACGACCUCAUUGGGAACCCGUCUCGUGGAGCAAUAACAAACCUGAAAUACAGCCCUUGCCACUGGGUUACCAGCUGCGUGACCUUGGGUGGCCUCUAGGCCAAGCCUUGAGUUAGCAUGAGCAUGAAGUAUGUGUGUCUAGUAGUAGGGCACGCACUUGCUCCCCACCUGGUUAGCAGAGGAUUUGAUGGUGAUGAGAACAAAGCACCUGGAAGCGAGGUCCUUAGGAGAUCAAGGUCGUAGCAUUCCCAAGAGAACCAUGACUUCCUUCUUCUCCUGGAAGACCCGGGCAUCCCUAUCCAGCUUACUGCUGACAGGUGGUGGUGGGUGAGGUGGGGUGGGGCUGCUGUGAGCACUUGGCUCCUCUGCCAGGGUCUGAAGACCACCCCGCUGUGUUCAUGGCUUCCUGGGAUACCUCCGGCAGGGUGCUUACCUGCUCUGAGAUUGCUGACUCCUGUCCAGUGGGGAUUGUAGCACCCAUGCCACCUUGGGUGAGCUGAGGGAGUCCAUGCUGCCUGGAGCAGUGCUGGCCCUCUUUACAAGAUGCCAAUACAGUGGUCACCGGGAAGCAGAAGUGAAGCUGCUGCUUUUCACUGACCAGCGGUCGAGCAGUGCUGUGUUCCGUGCCUUGUCUGACCAGGGAGGGCAGGGCACCCCUGCUGACAGGUACCAGAUGCCUCUUCUCUGGGCCCUUUCAGGAGUAGGUGGUUGGCCCUUUUAUAUUCAACUCAUUGAAGACCCUGUGGCUCAGAGAAACCAUGACAUCAUGCCACCUGAGGCCCCCAAUGAAACAUCCUUUGGAUUGAUGUUUAUGCCUCCUCCCCCACAACAAAAAAUUAAAUAAAUAAGUAGGAGGCUUUCGUGGCAGAGCCGUUAAUUUCUAACCUGUUGUCUUAGCCCACCACCAGGCCUGUCGCUAGAACUGACGGAACAGUGGCAGUUCAUCAUUUCUGGUACUGGCUGAUAUGUGUGGGCAACGUCAGACAGAAAGGGAUUCCCCCUCCCAAAUUCUCUUCUGUGAUUUCAAAAUCCUGAAUGUGAUUGAUUUCCAGAGUUAUCAAAUAGCCUCUGAUUAAAAGUCAUCCUGUAGAUACUUAGGUAGGUAAAGAAAUACUAGUGUCAGGUCAGGUGAGCUUGCCAGGUUAGACAGUUUUACUUCUGCUUUAGAAUUAUUCAAACAAAUGUUUGACAUCAGAGUAGCUACUUCCGACACUUUCCCUCACAGAUUAUCUAGAUCAUCUGUAAUCCAUUGAUACAUGUGUCACUGUUGAGAGCUAACAUUUUCUUCUAGAUGUUUUCAGGAGUGAUUCCUCAUGGAUAAUGAGGAAGUUUCACUGAGAAACUAGGGAUCCUUGACUCAGGAGUGUAAAUUAAUACAGAGAUCUCCAGAACACUUAGAUGAGCCAUGCUGGGCAUAGUCUAGAGUGAGGUCCAGAUACAGAUGCCUUGGUAGCAGGGCCACUAUACGGAUAUCAGGGAGAAGGGAGUGGGGGUCAAGGGGCUAGAGUGCUGGGAGGUGUAUCAAGCGCACUCGCCUGCAGGGUAAUGAGCCCAGUCCUCAUUGCCUUCUUGUCACGAUGGAGAUUCCUUGUUCUUGAGAGGAUUGGCACAUCGGGCAGGUUCCUCAUAGCCCCAGAGCUUCUGGGGGGCUCUGGGUACCUGGUGGGCCCUGGUCUUGGUCUUACCUCCUGACAUGGUGGGAAGAGGAUGGCACAGCUGUGAGACACUGCUGCCCACAGGGGCUGAGCUGGGCACCUUCUCACUGAGCCCUCCAUUCUGGGGCCAGGUGGACCAACACAGGUCUCAAUCCCUGUGGUCCUUCAGGCUGGGUGAUUCUUUGUAGCGGGGGCUGCGUAUUAUAGGAUAUUUAGUAGCACCCCUGGCUUCUGCCCACCAGAUACCAGUAGCACACCCCUGGAUGUCUCCAGACAUUGCCAGAUGUCCCCUGGGGGACAAAAUCACCCUAGUGAGAACCACUGGACUGGAUUUUGCUUUGUGGAACUUGUUUUUAUGUUCUUACAAUAGCGGGGAGAGGAGGGCUCUUGGGACACACCUUUGUGUCCUGGGCCUGGCUAUGAGUCUUCACCUGUGACCUUGAACUGUGGUGUCUUUUUUUAAUAAAAGUAACUUCUGUCUACUUUCCAAAUUAUUCUGCUAAUUAUCCUGUUAAUAUUUUGGUGUAUUGACUUCUGUUUUUUCCCCUUCAGAGAGCUGAAGUAAAAUCGUAUUUUAGAGACCUUUACUGCUACCCAAAUCAGGUGGGGGUCUUCCCAGCCCAGGAGAAAGGAAUGGUCUGGCAUUGGUCCCUGGGAGACCUGGCUCUGGACUCUGACUCCUCCCCUUAGACUCCCCUGUGCCUAUCUCUGUGCUCACCUGGGGCCUCCCUGGGCCUGUCGGUCCUCCCAGCCAGGUGGGCCCUAGCCUGACCCAGCUCAGACCCCAUCCCAGCUGCCCUCUUCCUCACACAUGAUGGGCUGGGGAGCAGAGGCAUUGCUCUUAGCUGGGUCUGUGGGCGGACCCCACAUUCUGCUGUGUCUCUGAACUCUGUAUAGGAUUGUUGAAAUGUUCUGCUUUUAAUUUGGUGACAGUCUUGUUGACCAAAUCCUGGUCUGCAGUUUCAAAGCCUGGGUCUGUGCCUGUUGUAGAAAGUCUGGGUGCCAAUUAUAUGCCUUAAGUUAUAACUUUCGGUGCACUUUUCCACUUGGUCUUGGCUGGAUUUAGGGCAUCAUGUGUUCUCAAGUUUGAGGAACAGCCGUAAACAUAAGCACUUGGUCUUAAGAGACAAAUAUCCUGAGUCUAAGAGGGUGGCAGGAACCUGGGUAACUUCUUUUUACUUUAGGUUUUUUUGUUUACAGAGAGUGAGCCAUUCCGUCUCUCAGAGGUGGUUGUAUUUCUUCAAGGAUGCAGGGGCAGGCACCUAAGCAUGAUUCUCUUCCUCUUCUCAGGCUCUAGAGCGCUGUCUGCUCUUACCCAAAAGAGUCUCCGAAUCCUGCCAGAGCGAGAGCAUGGUUGAAAUGCCGUCUUACCCUCUGUGUCCUCUUGACCUUCUUGUCUCCCACGUGACUGCUCAGGGAAGCAGCAAGAAGGGUGGGGCCCUGCCUGACGCAAGAGACAGAAGUCCUGCCUCCAGCCAUACAUCAUAGCCAAACAGUAAAGAAGCCUGCUUUGCUAGUGUUAACGUAUACAGACACAGAGAGAGAGAGAGAGGCAGAGACACAGGCAGAGGGAGAAGCAGGCUCCAUGCUGGGAGCCCGACGCGGGACUCGAUCCCGGGACUCCAGGAUCGCGCCCUGGGCCAAAGGCAGGCACGAAACCGCUGAGCCACCCAGGGAUCCCUGAGUGUAUUGGAUUUAAAUAAAAUACACUAAAAUCAAUUUCAUCCCAUUUUCUUAACGUGGCUACUAGAAAACCUAAAAGUAUGUGUAUAUGCAACUCACACUUCUGCCGGACGUGUUGCUCUGUGGCUUUGUCCUCGUGUAUAUCUCUUGUCUGUCUGCUUACUCUGGUAGAUGUUUUAAACAGAAGAUGCCUUGCUCUGGUUGUCUUCCCCUAGCUGCCCAGAGUUACAGUGAGUACCAGUACUGUGGUCUCACCCUCCCUGUCUUACCUUGUCUGUCUCGUCUCCUCUUUGGUAGACUGGUAAGGUUUCCUUUGUCCCAUUUAAUUUCCUUGGGUGGUUUGGCAAGCUCGCAGCCAUACCCCGGUUGUGACAGGUCAGACGUUGUCCCCCUGGCCCCCUGGGGAGUAGUGUCCCUGGUGGAGAACCGCUCCUCCUGUUGGUCUGCUGGUAUGAGAGUGUCACCUCCAGGGACUGCACGGCUGUACAUGUCUCACUCCUCCCCGGCCUGUGUCUGAGCUCCAGUAUGCCCUUCCUCCCAGCAGUGGCCACCACUUUACCACCCCCAUGGAUGUAUGUUUGAGAUGGUUCCAGUCUUCGGGUUUAGGAAUAAGACGACUGCGCAUUUGUGUAUGAGUCUGUUUGUGGGUAUUACAUAGUCGUUUCUCUUGGGAUUGGAAUUGCUGAGUGAUGUGGCAUGUGUAUGUUUUUCUGUCAUAAGAAACAGCCAGACCCUGUUCCUGAGGAUCCCCCACACCCCUGCCAGCAGUAACAUCCAAGUGUCCUCAGCCUGGUUGGCGGGUGGUGUGAAGUCUUCCUAGCACACAGUAGCAUCCCAUCUUCAGGCCCUUCUGAGAAGCAGAACGAACCAGUAAGGAAGAGAGAAAUGGAGUGGGAGAGGGGUUGAAGCCUGGCCAUAAAGAAUUGGCUUAUGGUAUUACAGGGCCUGAGAAGGUCUGCAGUGGGCAAGCUGGAUCCCCAGGAGGGCUGCUGGAGCAGCCGUGGUCAGGUAGCCUGCUUGACUUAGCCCACCAUUCACAGUGGUGUUCUCCAGACGGGCCCAGAGCAGUGUCCUACCCAGGUUCUGGGCACUUUGUGGCCCAGGCAGGUUGACCACACAUAAAAUUAGCCUUCACAUGUCCGCUGUGGCUUUAAUUUGCAUAUUUCUGACUAAUGAUGUUAAGUGUCUUUAUUACUACUUCUCUGUAUAUCUUCUUUUUGUGACUUUGUUAAAACUUUUUGUCCAUUUUAUUUUAUUAUUUGGGGGGGUUAAAAAAAGAUUUAUUUAUGUAUUUGAGAGAGAGUGAA